UUUACUUCUCGGCUCUUUGAGCUGUGGUCAAGUGUAGUAUCUGUUCUUAUCAGUUUAAUGUCUGAUAUGUACUUUUGAUGCAUUGGGCAAGGAAUUCAUCUGAGGAUUCAAGGAAAGAGGGCAGGAUCUGGUUCAAAUCUAGUUUUUUAAGUCAAGGUUGAAAUAAUUUUGAUUGUGCAAUCUAGUCCUAGUGAACACUGGGGCUACCGAAC
This 212-nucleotide small nuclear RNA is filed under the name Terrapene triunguis (Three-toed box turtle). Its description in RNAcentral is "Terrapene carolina triunguis (Three-toed box turtle) U2 spliceosomal RNA (ENSTMTG00000015087.1)". It matches the Rfam family "U2 spliceosomal RNA". Rfam says of the family: U2 is a small nuclear RNA (snRNA) component of the spliceosome (involved in pre-mRNA splicing). Complementary binding between U2 snRNA (in an area lying towards the 5' end but 3' to hairpin I) and the branchpoint sequence (BPS) of the intron results the bulging out of an unpaired adenosine, on the BPS, which initiates a nucleophilic attack at the intronic 5' splice site, thus starting the first of two transesterification reactions that mediate splicing. Lineage: Eukaryota; Metazoa; Chordata; Testudines; Emydidae. The record is from RNAcentral.